This 1363-nucleotide ribosomal RNA is filed under the name uncultured bacterium. Its description in RNAcentral is "bacterial SSU rRNA". It matches the Rfam family "Bacterial small subunit ribosomal RNA", at positions 27 to 1381 of the family's 1533-position model. The record is from RNAcentral.
GAACAAACGCUGGCGGCGUGUCUUAAGCAUGCAAGUUGAGCGGCAAGGAGGAGAGAUCCUCCCUAGAGCAGCGGACUGGUGAGUAACGCGUGGGUAAUCUAUCUUAGGCAUGGGGAUAGUCACUAGAAAUAGUGGGUAAUACCGAAUAAGUUCCAUAAGGGGAGGACUUAUGGAAGAAAGGUGCUACGGCACUGGCCUUAGGUGAGCUCGCGUCCCAUUAGCUAGUUGGUGAGGUAAAGGCCCACCAAGGCGAUGAUGGGUAGCCGGCCUGAGAGGGUGUACGGCCACACUGGGACUGAGAUACGGCCCAGACUCCUACGGGAGGCAGCAGCUAAGAAUAUUCCGCAAUGGACGGAAGUCUGACGGAGCGACGCCGCGUGGAUGAAGAAGGCCGAAAGGUUGUAAAGUUCUUUUGCUAGGGGAGAAUAAGUGUGGGAGGGAAUGCCUGCACGAUGACAAGGACUAGCGAAUAAGUCCCGGCCAACUACGUGCCAGCAGCCGCGGUAACACGUAGGGGGCGAGCGUUGUUCGGAAUUACUGGGCGUAAAGGGCAUGUAGGCGGCUUGGUAAGCCUGGCGUGAAAGUCUGCAGCUUAACUGUAGGGAUGCGUUGGGAACUGCUUAGCCUGAGUUACGGAGAGGGAGCUGGAAUUCCUGGUGUAGGGGUGAAAUCUGUAGAUAUCAGGAAGAACACCGAUGGCGAAGGCAAGCUUCUGGCCGACAACUGACGCUGAGGUGCGAAAGUGUGGGGAUCAAACAGGAUUAGAUACCCUGGUAGUCCACACAGUAAACGAUGUGCACGAGGUGCUGGGGCGGUAGUUUCAGUGCCGGAGCGAACGCGGUAAGUGCACCGCCUGGGGAGUAUGCUCGCAAGGGUGAAACUCAAAGGAAUUGACGGGGGCCCGCACAAGCGGUGGAGCAUGUGGUUUAAUUCGAUGGUACACGAGGAACCUUACCUGGGUUUGACAUACGGAGGGAAGUGGCAGAGAUGUCACUGCGUAGAGAUACGGCUCCGUACAGGUGCUGCAUGGCUGUCGUCAGCUCGUGCCGUGAGGUGUUGGGUUAAGUCCCGCAACGAGCGCAACCCCUACUGUCAGUUACUAACAGGUUAAGCUGAGGACUCUGGCGGAACUGCCGGUGACAAACCGGAGGAAGGUGGGGNNNACGUCAAGUCAUCAUGGCCCUUAUGUCCAGGGCGACACACGUGUUACAAUGGGCGGUACAGAGGGAAGCUACCCGGUGACGGGAUGCUAAUCUUUAAAACCGUUCUCAGUUCGGAUCGGAGUCUGUAACUCGACUCUGUGAAGCUGGAUUCGCUAGUAAUCGCGCAUCAGCCAUGGCGCGGUGAAUACGUUCCCGGGCCU